CAGCAGCCGCCGCGGUAAUACGUAGGUGGCAAGCGUUGUCCGGAAUUAUUGGGCGUAAAGGGCUCGCAGGCGGUUUCUUAAGUCUGAUGUGAAAGCCCCCGGCUCAACCGGGGAGGGUCAUUGGAAACUGGGAAACUUGAGUGCAGAAGAGGAGAGUGGAAUUCCACGUGUAGCGGUGAAAUGCGUAGAGAUGUGGAGGAACACCAGUGGCGAAGGCGACUCUCUGGUCUGUAACUGACGCUGAGGAGCGAAAGCGUGGGGAGCGAACAGGAUUAGAUACCCCCGUAGUCCCUGUCUCUUAUAC
This 304-nucleotide ribosomal RNA is filed under the name uncultured bacterium. Its description in RNAcentral is "partial 16S ribosomal RNA". It matches the Rfam family "Bacterial small subunit ribosomal RNA", at positions 506 to 807 of the family's 1533-position model. The record is from RNAcentral.